Molecule: ribosomal RNA, 1482 nt
Filed under: metagenome
Description: bacterial LSU rRNA
Rfam family: Bacterial large subunit ribosomal RNA
Source: RNAcentral
UCUGGUUACUGCGAUGGAGGGACGGAGAAGGCUAGGCCAGCUUGGCGUUGGUUGUCCAAGUUUAAGGUGGUAGGCUGAAAUCUUAGGUAAAUCCGGGGUUUCAAGGCCGAGAGCUGAUGACGAGUCGUCUUUUAGAUGACGAAGUGGUUGAUGCCAUGCUUCCAAGAAAAGCUUCUAAGCUUCAGGUAACCAGGAACCGUACCCCAAACCGACACAGGUGGUCGGGUAGAGAAUACCAAGGCGCUUGAGAGAACUCGGGUGAAGGAACUAGGCAAAAUGGCACCGUAACUUCGGGAGAAGGUGCGCCGGCUAGGGUGAAGGAUUUACUCCGUAAGCUCUGGCUGGUCGAAGAUACCAGGCCGCUGCGACUGUUUAUUAAAAACACAGCACUCUGCAAACACGAAAGUGGACGUAUAGGGUGUGACGCCUGCCCGGUGCCGGAAGGUUAAUUGAUGGGGUUAGCGCAAGCGAAGCUCUUGAUCGAAGCCCCGGUAAACGGCGGCCGUAACUAUAACGGUCCUAAGGUAGCGAAAUUCCUUGUCGGGUAAGUUCCGACCUGCACGAAUGGCGUAACGAUGGCGGCGCUGUCUCCACCCGAGACUCAGUGAAAUUGAAAUCGCUGUGAAGAUGCAGUGUAUCCGCGGCUAGACGGAAAGACCCCGUGAACCUUUACUGUAGCUUUGCACUGGACUUUGAGCCUGCUUGUGUAGGAUAGGUGGGAGGCUUUGAAGCGUGGACGCCAGUUCGCGUGGAGCCAUCCUUGAAAUACCACCCUGGCAUGCUUAGGUUCUAACUCUGGUCCGUAAUCCGGAUCGAGGACAGUGUAUGGUGGGCAGUUUGACUGGGGCGGUCUCCUCCUAAAGAGUAACGGAGGAGUACGAAGGUGCGCUCAGACCGGUCGGAAAUCGGUCGCAGAGUAUAAAGGCAAAAGCGCGCUUGACUGCGAGACAGACACGUCGAGCAGGUACGAAAGUAGGUCUUAGUGAUCCGGUGGUUCUGUAUGGAAGGGCCAUCGCUCAACGGAUAAAAGGUACUCCGGGGAUAACAGGCUGAUACCGCCCAAGAGUUCAUAUCGACGGCGGUGUUUGGCACCUCGAUGUCGGCUCAUCACAUCCUGGGGCUGAAGCCGGUCCCAAGGGUAUGGCUGUUCGCCAUUUAAAGUGGUACGCGAGCUGGGUUUAGAACGUCGUGAGACAGUUCGGUCCCUAUCUGCCGUGGACGUUUGAGAUUUGAGAGGGGCUGCUCCUAGUACGAGAGGACCGGAGUGGACGAACCUCUGGUGUUCCGGUUGUCACGCCAGUGGCAUUGCCGGGUAGCUAUGUUCGGAAAAGAUAACCGCUGAAAGCAUCUAAGCGGGAAACUUGCCUCAAGAUGAGAUCUCACUGGGAACUUGAUUCCCCUGAAGGGCCGUCGAAGACUACGACGUUGAUAGGCUGGGUGUGUAAGCGUUGUGAGGCGUUGAGCUAACCAGUACUAAUUGCC